Molecule: unclassified non-coding RNA, 708 nt
Filed under: Hevea brasiliensis (rubber tree)
Lineage: Eukaryota; Viridiplantae; Streptophyta; Magnoliopsida; Malpighiales; Euphorbiaceae
Source: RNAcentral
UUACCACUUCCCUUUUCUCCUCCUAACUACCCACCCCCCUUUAGAAGCGAUUUUCCGGCCAUGUUGUCCACUUUCCCGGCCACUACUCUGUCCGCCGACGGACUUUUUUCCAAUUUAUUUCCGGCAUUUGAUGGAGGAUUCACUCCUUGGGAAUGUAUCGAACCGGCUUUUCUAUUUUCACAACAAGUGGAAUCGGUUGUUUCACCCAAGGAAUCCCCACCACCUGAACCGGUUAUUUCAAACUCCGAUUCAGGUUCUGAUGACUCCAAACCUAAUUCUGUUCACUCUAGUUCCGGUUCAGAUGACCCGAACCGGAAUAAUAACAAUAAUAAUAAGUCGAACCGGUGUCCUGACGAGAGAAAGCGGCAGCGCACGACAUCGAACCGUGACAUGGAUGAGAGGAAGCGUCGACGUAUGGUAUCGAACCGGGAAUCAGCAAGGCGGUCUCGCAUGCGAAAGCAAAAGCAUCUGGAAAACCAGUGCCAAGUGGUCCAGUGUGAGAACGAGCGGCUGAGGACCGAAUCGGCUAUCCUUCGGCAAAGACUUGAGGGUAUACGUCAAAUAUGGAUCAACCGGCAAUUUAAUUCUUAUUCUGCAUGGGCAUGCAAUAAUAUGGAACAAAGACCUCAUUAAUUAAUCAAUUGGAACUAUAAUAAAUCAUCAUUAAACGUGCUUCUUCCUCUAAUCAUAACUAUCAGAUGAACUGAA